AUUAUAUAACUUUGCCUGAAACCAACAGCACGCUCAUUGCACAUAUCAUGGGCUCAUUUAUUUCACUUAUAAAGAACCUGGCCAAGGAAGAGAUAGUGCCUAAAGUGGCCAGUAUUCUGACCGAUAUGUUAGAAAAAUGGUGUGCCGACCAAUUCAUGACAUGUGUCCCAAAACUAGCAACGGAAAUUGUAUUCGCCGUGUUGAGGUCUCUAAUCCAGAUGAUGCUCAUCUAUGUACUGGAAAAGGCAGAGUCCUUUCCUGACAAGCUGCUGAAACUCUUCAGAAACAUCUCAUAUUUCCUGAAGAAGAUGAUGUCUGGACAAGCAGCACAGGAGGAAGAGGGUAAUCCGGAUGAGUUUUCUGACCUACUCGGCGGCUGUGAUUAAACAACCACCAGGAAAUUUUGACGACACUGUUCUCCUGAGCUCCUCCCUUUCCUCCGGGAACAAAACAAUUGAAUUUACAAAAAUAAAGUGUUAUUUGACUGGAGUGAGGUCUCAUGUCUGCUUAUGCGGUGGCUCGCUGCUCAGAACAGGAUGGCAGAGAUGAGCACCACCAUCAAAAACUCAAGGACCAGUGCUGUGGGUCCAGUCAUCUGUUUCAUGGAAUUCACCAGUCUGGUAUCUUCAAAAUCCAGAAGGAUGAUGGCAGAUGGCAGGAAGGAACCAUUGGAGAUACUCAUUACUCUUUGAAGGCUUACAGUGGAAUGAAUUCAAAUACGACUUAUUUGAGGAAUUGAAGUUGACUUUAUGGAGCUGAUAAGAAUCUUCUUGGAGAAAAAAAGACUGGUACUUCUGAAUUAACCAAAAUCACAGUAUUCUGAAGAUGAUUCUACAAAGCCUGCUGUUUCUACAAAGGCUGCUGAUGAUUUCUACAAAGCCUGCUGUAGUGUUGCUGUGGCCUCUGCUUAAAAAAGUAGAAAACACAUUGAUGCAGCAUGUUCACCCCAACCUCCCUGCCUAAAGGCUCAGGGACCAUCUUGGAAGAGGAAGGCGCGUGAGAUUGUAAGAGCCGAAUUAGGGGGAUGGAGUGUGGAGAAUAAGGACACUUCAUCUUGGAUGCUCACCUGCCAAAUUGACUUCUGAUGAAAGCCAGCUCCAGAAAUGUGCCUACAGUUACUACUUUCACCUAAACCCUGCCCUUAGUCAAAUCCUUCUCUUCUUCUAAGCAAUCAACUUCAAUUCCUUGUAUAACCCACAGUAUAAAAGGGCUUUUAUACCAUUCUAUCCUAUUGCAUGUAAGCCUUGGGUCUGGGAGGUAACAGUGUGGGAUUCCACCAUCUCAUCUCCCUGCCACCCAAACAUGCCUGCUCUUCUUUAAGCAAUAUUAAAUGUUUGUACUUCAGAAA
Molecule: long non-coding RNA, 1348 nt
Filed under: Homo sapiens (human)
Lineage: Eukaryota; Metazoa; Chordata; Mammalia; Primates; Hominidae
Description: HSALNT0397979
Source: RNAcentral